This 901-nucleotide long non-coding RNA is filed under the name Sus scrofa (pig). RNAcentral's name for it is "lncRNA (ENSSSCG00060012799.1)". The record is from RNAcentral. Lineage: Eukaryota; Metazoa; Chordata; Mammalia; Artiodactyla; Suidae.
GCUUGAUCCUCUAAAAGGCUGCAAUCGAAGUGUCAGGCAGGACUAGGUUCUCAUCUAAAAGUCCGGUUUGGCAUGAAUUGGCUUUAAACUCAGGUUAUUGGCAACAUCCACGUUUGGCGACGUGUUAGACUAAGGGCUUUGAGUUUUGCUGGCUGUCAGUCAGAGGCUACUUUCAGGGCCUUGUCGUGUGUGUCUCCCACCAUGGCUCCUUUCUUCAUCAGAGACAGCAAGGGAGAGAGACUCUCAUCUGGACAGAUGUCGUCAUCUUGUUUAGUAUAAUUAUGAAAGGGUUGUCCCAUCAGCGUGGCUGUGUCCUAUUGGUAAUCCCGUCACACUCUAAGGGUGAAGACUGCACGAAGUCAUGAACACCAGAAGGCAGGAAUGAUGGAAGCUCUCCAAGAGUCUCUCCUGAAUGCCAUCGCAUGCCUUCCCUUCGAUGAGAAAUACCCUUCAUAACUCACUCACCUUGCUUCCCUGGCCUUCACGUCCUGGGAUCAACAUCACUUUCUCAGGAAACCUUUCCCGGGCACACCAGGUUGACAUGAGAAUCUCACUGCACAUCUUGAUCAAGACCAGGAGCGAGGAUACACAGCCAGUGCUUCACGAGUGGACUGAAGAGAAAAGGCAUCCAGCUGCACGGAGUGGGGAUGGGAUUGAGGCACUAACACCCACUUCAGGGGCACCAGGUGUCACUAAUAAUUAAGAUUAUCUGUGGUAUAAAUCCGGCUGUUUCGGAGCUUUCCCUACAACCACUUUGGGAUCCAGCGUUCCGGCGUCCGGUAAGUGAGUUGGCUUUUUUCUCUUUGUAUUUAAUUUUUAAAAAUUGUGUUGCUGUUUGUAUCCUUUUGUCUUCUCUUCCUUUUGGCUUUAGGUCUUAAAUAAAGUCCAUCCUGUAGUCUCA